UUUGCCUUAAUUUGCUUUUCUUUUUUUUUUACUUUUGAGUUCUCUUCAUUUGUACUCUAAGCAGUACAGAUUUACUUCAGUCCUGUCUUUGUAUCUUUGUACAGUCAAUACCUGGAGAAUUACCUGUGGGCCAACUUUAUUUCAAGCAAGGCCUCUGUGGAGCAUGUAAUGUCCGUGGUAGUUAUGGUGAAUGAGAAGUUCAGAGAAGGCGUUCCACCCUGGGAGUCAUUCAAGGAAAACCCACAACAGUUCCAUGGGUUUUUUCAACGCAUUAUAGAAAUAAGCUUGGCAGGUGAAGAUGUCCUAUCCAUCAGGGAACAGUCCAUAAUCUUGAGCUUCUUAAUUCACUGUUUUAACAGUCUGGUAUGUUCAGUAGGACCUCUGAAAUAAUUAUAUUUAUCAAUAAAAAUGUAAUAUAUAUAUAUA
Long non-coding RNA from Orbicella faveolata, 426 nucleotides. The record is from RefSeq and is a predicted model, not a curated record. NCBI's taxonomy places the organism in Eukaryota, Metazoa, Cnidaria, Anthozoa, Scleractinia, Merulinidae.